This 118-nucleotide ribosomal RNA is filed under the name candidate division WWE3 bacterium RIFCSPHIGHO2_01_FULL_48_15. Lineage: Bacteria; candidate division WWE3. The record is from RNAcentral.
UCUGGUGAUUUGAGCGAGGGUGAACCACCUCUUACCAUUCCGAACAGAGUCGUGAAAGCCCUCAGCGCUGAUGGUACUGUAUUCUCCAAGGAUACGGGAGAGUAGGUCAUUGCCAGGC